CAGUAGCCACGGUAAUACGUAGGGUGCAAGCGUUAAUCGGAAUUACUGGGCGUAAAGCGUGCGCAGGCGGUUAUGUAAGACAGUUGUGAAAUCCCCGGGCUCAACCUGGGAACUGCAUCUGUGACUGCAUAGCUAGAGUACGGUAGAGGGGGAUGGAAUUCCGCGUGUAGCAGUGCAAUGCGUAGAUAUGCGGAGGAACACCGAUGGCGAAGGUAAUCCCCUGGACCUGUACUGACGCUCAUGCACGAAAGCGUGGGGAGCAAACAGGAUUAGAUACCCCAGUAGUCCCUGUCUCUUAUAC
This 301-nucleotide ribosomal RNA is filed under the name uncultured bacterium. Its description in RNAcentral is "partial 16S ribosomal RNA". It matches the Rfam family "Bacterial small subunit ribosomal RNA", at positions 509 to 807 of the family's 1533-position model. The record is from RNAcentral.